RNAcentral lists this transfer RNA (72 nucleotides) under Papilio machaon (common yellow swallowtail). It matches the Rfam family "tRNA". Rfam says of the family: Transfer RNA (tRNA) molecules are approximately 80 nucleotides in length. Their secondary structure includes four short double-helical elements and three loops (D, anti-codon, and T loops). Lineage: Eukaryota; Metazoa; Arthropoda; Insecta; Lepidoptera; Papilionidae. The record is from Rfam by way of RNAcentral.
UCACGAAUGGUCUAGUGGCUAGAAUACCUGGCUCUCACCCAGGAGGCUCGGGUUCGGUUCCCGGUACGAGAA